UUGCUUUAGCCCCUGCAGGUAGAUAUCGAUGGAGAGAGUUAAUCUGUUUUUCCAGCGGUGCUUUCCCGGAGUGCUGAGUUUGUACCCCAUGCUCCUGUGAGCCUUGCUCAACCCAGCCACCUCCUGCCUCCACAUGGGUUUGCAGUUGGACUAGAUGAUUGUUGUAGGUCCCUUCCAACUGAAAUUAUUCUAUUCUAUUCUGUUCUGUUCUGUUCUAUUCUGUUUUCUCGUAGCUCUCGUACACGCAGCAGGUUGUGGCUGGGGACUGCUGCUCUUCUCUUGGGGAUCGUUCCCAGAACCUCUUCAUUUCAGACUCUGCAGACUGAAUACAUGUUCUGGCAGCUAUUUGAGCACCUCCUGUUUUAGGAGGCUGGAGAUGAUGCUAACUGCUUCUCCCCAGGGAGCGUGGGUUUGAGCGGAGUGUCCUGGGGACGCAGCCUCUCCCACAGCUGUGUGGUCCCUCUCGAGGAGCAGCAUCCUGACAGCAGUGGCCUAAAAAAGAAAGGACAGAGGUUUCUCAGCUCCUGGCCCACGACCGGACUUACUCCUGCAGGAAAUGAAUCAGCUAAGCCUCAUCACCAAACGCUUCAUUGUUUUAAAAAAUCCCCGGUGCCAACAAAACCCUGCCAGACCGUCGGUCACUGCGAUGCCUUCUCAUUCUUCCUCCCGUGCCUUUGCAUUCAGCUGUUGCCUCUUGCCAUUGUAGAGCCGUGGCGAGUGGGGACGUGUCCUCCUUUUGUCUGUGCAACGCCAGGCUCCGGGAGAGGGGUCCUGCUCUUCGCCUCCGCCUUCCAAGAAUGACGGUAGCGGUGAGAAUAGCUUAGCAACAGCAAGGAAGAAGUGCUUCAAAAUAAUUCUUGGCUGCUUUGGCCAAAAGGUGAUGAUAGUCCGGGGAGAUGCUCGGGAACUGUUGUGAUAGGCAUCGUAUCAGUGCAAAGAGUGCGGCUCUGCGCUGACCUCUCUGUAACCCUAACGGCCUGGGGGGAAGAAGGCUCCCACCCAGAGCUGCUUGGAAAAUAACAGUUCGUUAAGCCCAAUAAUUUUAAGGAGAAAUUCCUAGUUUUGAUUAGUUUUUCACUGGGAAAGAUUUCAUGGCUCCCAGAUGGAAUUCCUGGAUAUUGUAAUAAGUAAUAAAUAAUAAACCGGGGUGAAUAAUCUACCUUAAAAGAGCUGGCAGCUCAAUAUUUACAGCACUUGUAGGGAUGCUGGAGGCUUUAUCCCAGCAGCUGGUCUGAGCAGGGCAAUGCCCGGGGAGAUAGUGGCUGUUCUCGGCCGCGUCUUUCUGGCGCCCUUAUUCUCUCCAUCCCUGCUGUGAUUUCCUAAAAAUCUCAGUUCUGUCCAAAAGUAGAACAGGAAUGUUUUUGAAAUCAUGAGUAUUUUUACAGGAAAUAGAAAAAUGUCCCACUCAGCUGUAGUCACAAGCUCUUUGCAGGUGGGUGCUGGGUGGCUGAGGCCAAGACCGGUUUCUUCUUCAGCAUCAAAUGUGGUGAGUCAGAGCAGAGCCAGGAGAUGUGGAGGCAGAAAGGACGUGAGAGGCGUUAAGCUUCUUUCUUAGUAGCAAAAAGCUAAAAUCAGUAUGGUAUGUAAAUUAAUAUGCCAAAAUAUUCAAGGGUCUGGAGUCUGCUGGUGAUCUCGGGGAAGGAUUAGACAGGUUUUUCAUCAGCAGCAUUUAAUUUGAGAGGUUUCCGUGUCCACGCAUCCGGCAAUGCUUGACACUUUCAAUGCCAUUUCCAUAUGAGCAGAACAUCUCAGACCUGGGUUACGGUCAGCGUCUUCUGCAGGGGCUCGGCAUCUCUGAUAGAAACAGGCUGUCACCGUCCUGCUCAAGGAGACUGAAGUCAGGAGCCUUUUGCAAAAUGAUUGUCUUUAAUGCUUCUAUUGCCCCAUCUUUAAAAUUAGCACGCUGACAUCUCCUUUCCUUGCAGAAAUCACAGCGAGAAGUAUGAACGAACCGCACCAUCAAAGAGCUGAGCAUUAAGGGAAAAAGGAAAAUCCUUCAGCAUCGCGCGACCUCUUUAAAGACCUGCAGAGGCAGAGUAAUUCUGGUGUGAGCGACUCUGGAGAUCAGAGGGAAAAUAAACAGCAGCCUUUUGCAUGAACGGCGCUGCCGACGUUGCAUCCCACAUUCUCCCGGGGUGACCUGCCGUGGAAAGAGCAGCAGAGAGAGGGUUUUGCUGCCCAGGACAGGGUACCACCACCUCGGAAUAUUUGGCCCAAGUCUGGAGUGGAUGUGGUAGCACCAUCAGUGAGAUCUACUCAAUGCUCAGCUGGACUGUAGCUCGAGAGGAGAGGUAACGCUUGACUUAGAAAGGCUGUUGUGCGUGUAUUUUGGCAGUGCUGAUCCUUCUUCACGUUACCACUGUUCUGAGAUGGUUGUGUGUACUGAGGCACUGAGUGGCUUCUAAUCCCAUGGAUGAUGAUGGAAGUGCUAAUUGGUGAAAACGCAUCUUGAGUAUCUCAAAGUAAGCACCCACGACUGAAAGCUAGUGUGUAUUCUUGUGAGUCUGGGCUCCUAAUUCUUUUUUUUCAUGGGAACUUCAUAUAUAAAAAGAAGAAAUAAUAUUUGCCCACAUCCCAGCAGGCUUCCUCGCUUUGAGCUUGGUUCGCAGAAGUUACCUGGAGACUCUGCAGAAAGCUUCCCCUUGACAGCGAAGUAAAAGGCACAUUUUUAAGGCAGCUGAAUGGAGAGCUGCAGUCACAAUUAGCGCUCUACAGUUUCCAGCCAUGUAACUAUUUGUGAUAGUUAAAAUAUUUUCCUCUUCCCAUCUGGGUGAAAUCCUAGCUUCAAAGCUUUGGGGUUUUUUAGCUCUAAACAAGAGAUCCCAAAAUAGCCUCCUGGUCAGAGCAUUUACACGGACAGUAAGCUCUUGCUCCACUCUGCCUAUUUCUAAAUGCAGAGCUGAACCCAGACUCUCUGGUGCCGCGGAGCUGCCGGGACACCGGACUACUGGCCGCUCGGGAAGAUGUAUUUUUUUUUUUUUCCCCACUCUGUCAAACUGUUCUGGAUGAGCCUUUUGCUGGAGCUGGGUACCGCUUUCAGGAAAUGUGUUGGUUUUUAUUGAACCCCUGCUUUCUCAAAUUUCCCAAGCAGUUCUAGCUGCAAACGCAGCCAAAAACGGAAAAAAAAAAAUCUUUUAUUUUAACAAGUAAGCCUUUUU
Molecule: long non-coding RNA, 3158 nt
Organism: Aquila chrysaetos chrysaetos
Lineage: Eukaryota; Metazoa; Chordata; Aves; Accipitriformes; Accipitridae
Exons: 3
Source: RefSeq, a predicted model, not a curated record